This 497-nucleotide ribosomal RNA is filed under the name uncultured bacterium. RNAcentral's name for it is "partial 16S ribosomal RNA". It matches the Rfam family "Bacterial small subunit ribosomal RNA", at positions 28 to 507 of the family's 1533-position model. The record is from RNAcentral.
GAUGAACGCUGGCGGCGUGCCUAACACAUGCAAGUCGAGCGGACGGACGCGACGCUUGCUUCACUGAUGUUAGCGGCGGACGGAUGAGUAACACGUGGAUAACCCACCUCUUAGACUUGGAUCACUUCGGGAAACCGGAGUUAAUACCGGGUAACAUUUUGAACCGCAUGGUUCAAAAGUGAAAUACGUUUUUGCUGUCCCUUCUAGCUGGAUCCGCGGUGCAUUAGCUAGUUGGUAAGGUAACGGCUUACCAAGGCCACGAUGGAUAGCCGACCUGAGAGCGGGAACGGCCACUCUGGAACUGAGACGCGGUCCAGAGUCCUACGGGAGGCAGAGGUAGGGAAUCUUCGGAAAAGGGCGAAAGCCUGACGGAGCAGCGCCGCGCUGGUGAAGAAGGUCUGCGGAUCGUAAGACGCUGUUAGUGGUGAAGAACAUUUGUGUAAGUAACGAUGCACAUCGUGACGGUACCUAGUUAGAAAGCCACGGCUAACUACGUG